RNAcentral lists this ribosomal RNA (253 nucleotides) under uncultured bacterium. RNAcentral's name for it is "partial 16S ribosomal RNA". It matches the Rfam family "Bacterial small subunit ribosomal RNA", at positions 524 to 776 of the family's 1533-position model. The record is from RNAcentral.
UACGAAGGGGGCUAGCGUUGUUCGGAUUUACUGGGCGUAAAGCGCACGUAGGCGGAUCGUUAAGUCGGGGGUGAAAUCCUGGAGCUCAACUCCAGAACUGCCUUCGAUACUGGCGAUCUUGAGUCCGGAAGAGGUGAGUGGAACUCCUAGUGUAGAGGUGGAAUUCGUAGAUAUUCGGAAGAACACCAGUGGCGAAGGCGGCUCACUGGACUGGUAUUGACGCUGAUGUGCGAAAGCGUGGGGAGCAAACAGG